UACGUAGGGGGCAAGCGUUGUCCGGAUUUAUUGGGCGUAAAGAGCGUGUAGGCGGCCAGGUAGGUCAGCUGUGAAAACUCGAGGCUCAACCUCGAGAUGUCGGCUGAAACCAUCUGGCUAGAGUCCGGAAGAGGAGAAUGGAAUUCCCGGUGUAGCGGUGAAAUGCGCAGAUAUCGGGAGGAACACCAAUUGCGAAGGCAGCUCGCUGGGACGUUACUGACGCUGAGACGCGAAAGCGUGGGGAGCAAACAGG
RNAcentral lists this ribosomal RNA (253 nucleotides) under uncultured bacterium. Its description in RNAcentral is "partial 16S ribosomal RNA". It matches the Rfam family "Bacterial small subunit ribosomal RNA", at positions 524 to 776 of the family's 1533-position model. The record is from RNAcentral.